Molecule: long non-coding RNA, 4848 nt
Organism: Megalobrama amblycephala (Wuchang bream)
Lineage: Eukaryota; Metazoa; Chordata; Actinopteri; Cypriniformes; Xenocyprididae
Exons: 10
Source: RefSeq, a predicted model, not a curated record
GAGCCUGCUGGAGGAAAGAAAAUGGAGCUCUUUGGUAAAACAGAAACCCCCCUUUUUCUUUUUUUUUUUUUCUUUUUUUGCUGUUAUCUCUUUUUUCGCAAAUGCAUGUACCAUUAUUUUCCUGUUCUUCACUUUGCAUAGUAAUAGGACCGAUAGAUCUCCCUCAUUGGAUGAAUUUCCAAAAUCAAUUUUCUCUAAUUAUCAUCCAUUCCUUUUUGUUUUCUUCUUUUAUCUCGCUUAACAUCCCCUCUCUACUGUGCAUUUAUUCUCGUUAUCUGAUCCUCCCUGUCUCCAAUGUGUCUCUUUCUCGUUUAACUCUCUGUUAAACUGUUAGCCUUUACCACAGCCUUAAAAAACUCAUCUCUGUUCAUGGGAGUGUUAACGCUCUUCAGCACAUCUCUACGAUGACUAUGACCACUGACUGGGGUGGAAGUAAUGUUUUUUUUUUUUUUUUUUUUGCAGCUGAAAUCAGAAGCAGAUGGAUUCAGGAUGGCUCAAAUUAGCCUCUCUCUCGUGUUCUGCUGUUGCUAAGUAACAGUUGACAGACAGGGGGUGACAGGCCAGUGAUGGCAGCGUUUGAUGGCAAUAUGUCUUUGGCUCAAUGGCUCCGAGCUAACAUUGAAACAGUGCCUCAUUUAAAUCAGAAGGAGAGUGAGAGAGAGAGAGAGCGAGAUUUUUGUAAGAGUCUGUGAGCAAGCAGAUGAGCCAAACCUACCACACACAUAGCCAAAAUUUGUCACUCAUGUCAUAUGUGAGAAUACAAUCAUGUUGCCAUAAGGACAUCUGUUGUGUGCCAAUAAAAUAUGUUGUUUUAAGGGCAUUAACCAAUCAGAAUCCCGCCUUUCCCCUGCAUAAGAUCACAGAUUUGACUAUAUUUUAAAACUGUCAGGCACACAGACCAUCAGGAAAAACAAAAGGGAUAGAAAACUAAACUGAAUAAAGAGGUCAUUUUUUUGUAUCUAUUGUAACUAUUAUGUAUCAUGUUUUUAUUCGUAAAAUUGUUUUAUUUUCCCUAAAGUUGGCAUGAAAAGGAAGUUGUGAGUCUUUUCUUCCCUAUUUUUGAUGUAUAUCUGAGUGAAAAGGCUUCUCAAAGAAAAAAUGUAGGGCAGAAAGAAAUGGUAAAUGGUAGCCUGGUAAACGUCAUCAGAAAAGAGACAAAAUCAAAAAAUAAUAUGUAACAUUUGUAAUAAAUAUUGCAAUAUUCCAUAUUAAAAUAAAUAAUUUUGAUCUCAUGGUGAUUUAGAGCUGUUUGGUUUGUAUAGAAUUAGCAUUUCCCAUGUAAACUGCUAGGACUACACUGGUUUUCAGAUUCGUCACGCAUGUAAACCUGCAUCCUUGUGGUUGUUGUAGUCUUUAUGUAGAAACUUGUCAGCAAAAGCGCAACUGUUUCAAAAUUCAUGUUUGCGGCAAAAUGUUGCCUACUUUAUGUUGUAAGACAAUAAGUCUGUAAGUAAUUAACCUUAUAUUUUACUGUACACUUUUGUUUGCCACUGUAUGUGCAGCUCACUGCAUUCAAGAAGCAUUUUUACUUGACGUUACACAUUACACUUUUCUCCGAAAUGAUAGAUGGCAGUGCAGAGAAAGAGAAAGAAACCGCAGUAAACGUUAGAAUAAUUUUAUGAACUCUGAAUUUGUCAGUCACAAAUUUAACAGCGUAGUUCAAAUCUGACUGCUUUAAUAAUAUUUGCGGUCUGUUUCAAGUAGGCUCACCUGCACAUGCAGUCGCUGUUCGUUUAAUGCCCCAAAAUUUUGAGAUUCGCGGAGUAAUUUGUCAAGUGUGCAGUGACGUAUUGGUUUUUUUUUUUUUUUUUUUCGCGCGGAUCCACAACAACAGGAUCCAUUGAGUAGAAAAUAUAAACGGAUUAGAAGCUGCGAUGAGCAGAAACAGUCCUCAGAACCUACUCAGGCUUUCCAUCUGUAGCACCUGAGGAAGAGGACGGGAACGCCGGGCUGUCAGGAGAGAUGAGCUCAAGCUCUCUGCGGCAGGCUGUCAAAUGCGACACAUCCUCUUCAAGAGCAGACACAAGAGCAAACUUCCGCUACUCCUCUAUCGUUGUCUCUUUCUCUAUCUGUGUCGCUGUUCCUCAAUCUCUAUCUUUCUUUCUCUCUUUGUUUUUCUCCCCUAAUCACAUUGCAGGACAGUAGGUAAGACUUGUGUUUCAUGACCUAUGGAAACAGAAGCAUCCAUCAUUUGUAGGUAAUCAACAUUUUUGAAGGAAGUGACUCACCAAAAACAGCAAUAUGCAUAUAUAGCAAUAUGAAUACAGAUUCAAAUAUAAAUUAAUUACAAACAGAUAUGGAACAGAAACGAAAAAAGACAGUGUUCACAUACUUCAGCUCUCCCGACAUCUCUCUAUUUUCUUUGUUUGUGCUCUCCGCUAUAUUACUGCAGACUAUCAUUUGCAAAGUGUUGUUUGGCAUUUGUGUUUUCUCUAUUGGCUUUGCAUGCUUGGCUAGCUGCGCUCGAACCUCUCAGCAGAAGAGACCUAGGCCUUUUUUAAUAAGGUCCCUCAUGAGAAAUCUUCCUCAUCUGAGCAGGAGCAUGUCUAGAGGGCAGUUAAAGAAGAGAAAUAGAAGAGGUAACAAAUAAAAAGAUGAGGAGAUAUAGACAGAAAAGAGGAGAGACUGAUGAGGGAAGGGGAAGAACGUGAUGCGUGAUUGAGUUUGUGCAUUCUGCCUCUCUUAGAGGUGAGAGCUGCUCUAUCAGGGGACAGGAAAAGGCAUUCAGAGUGUGACAUGUUUGUCACGGUGGGCGACAUUGGCAUCUGUCACGCAACCUUUGGCAACGCUUGCAAUAACCCUCUCCGUUCCAGAGAGUAUGAGACAAAAAGAGACUUUGAAAACGAGAGAGGUGUGUCCUAGUCGGAGUGCACAAGCUUGAGGGCUGCAGUGCUCACAGCAACCUGUCCUGUCUGAAUAAAUCCAAGGAUAAAGGCCUGAAGUUUUAAAAUGACAAAAGAAUCAAAAUGAUCUUCCCUUCCGAAUUCAUGGAAAUGGAGAGGGGGAGGAGGGCUCCUGUCAGGAGGGAGGCAUGGAGCGCUGGUCAGUAUAUCAGGGAGUUUUAAUUAACAGCUCAGUGAUGAGGAUUGAAACAGCCCUCAUGCCGUUUACCACUCUACGGGACCGGAUCAAACCAAACUGUAGCGCAGAGGGGUUGGACUGCUCCACUCAGCCAUCUAUAAAAGACUGGCACUGAAAUCAGGGGCAUUUGCAUACGGUACAGAUGACUUUACAUCAUGAUACUGAUCCUUGGAGUCCGUGGAGUAAUGGAAGUCACCGGAGAGCUGCUGAAUAACUGUGCUGAAGUAGGAAUUACAGAUCCUGGAUCUACGGAAAUGAGGGUGGUGUAUGAAGCUGUGUUUGCCUGCGGCAGAUCCCCCUGGCAGUCUCUGAGAGCUGCCAUCUUCUUCUGCCAGCCCUCCAUUAGGCCUGUAAGGUGUGUCAGUCAGCGCUCGUACACAGGGGCUUAUGGGAAGACUGCGGGGAAGUGAGGAGUGAACGUGACAGCGAAUGGUGAACGGUCUUUCAAGCUCCGAAAAGGAUGAAGAAAAGACAAGAUGAAAGAGUGAUUCAGUUUGAAUCGCCUACUCUGUCAGAUGGCCUGAGUCCUUCAUGAAGUCUGUAAUAAUCCAUCACGCAGGACUAUCAAGGCCAUAAUCGUCCAACACUAAUCGUCAGUAACGUGUUCAUUGUUCAAACUGGAGUCGGACACUGAUGGAGAGACUCAGGAAGAAGUUACAACUUAUAGAAUGCAACUGGACACUUCUGAAUGGCCUUCUGGAUAUGUCUCUGUCUUCACGGAGGGACUGGAAGUAGCAUGAAAGGAGAAGCUGUCUUGUGGUUCUUGAUGGCUGUACACUAAUUGCUGACCCUAACAGGUCCAAUUAGAAGCUACACGCGCCCCGCGCGGGCCCAGGGGACUACACAUCCCGGCAUGCCGAGCACUGACACUCUCAGAGUGACAUGAACAAGACAGCAACCAGACGUUCCCCUUUCUUCUUUUUCCCACCAUGCUUUUCUCCAUCGUAAGUAACGGGCUAAUUUGUGAGGGCUGAGAGGCACAUCCAAGUGACUUUUUAUGGGCCACAGAUACAGAUGCAUUUGCAGUUGGAGUUUUUGGCGCUUUAUUAUAAACAGAGAUUAUGACAUUUGUAAGUAUCAAUAGUUAAAAGUAAAAUUGUGAUAUAGGAUUCUAUCUAAGGCCUGGGACACACUAGACGAUUUUCAAAUCUUAACCGAUUUUAAAACAAUGUGAGACCACAGCCAUAAGGACAGUUUCAACCGAUUAUUUAUUUAUUUAUUUAUUUUUGGUCAGAGGCAGCCCGAUCAAGAGUGUAAAUCAAACGUAUUUGAUAUUUACAAUUUGGGAUUGGGGAGGCUCUGACUCGAUUAGGAGCAGUAAAAUAAUCAUAAUGACACCACACAGUUGAGAAUUAUUUUGGACAAAAAGUCAGUUCAACAAGCCUUGAACCGGGCUCGAAUCGAAACCUCCCCAAUUCAUUGGGUGAUGCAAAUCGGGCCAAAUAUCGGGUUUAAAAUCGUCAAGUGUGUGGACAGCAUCAAGUUAGUGAUACAGGUUCUGGAACUAUACGAUUUUUUGUUGCACCUAUAUAUAUAAUAUAAUAUAAUAUAAUAUAAUAUAAUAUAAUAUAAUAUAAUAUAAUAUAAUAUAAUAUAAUAUAAUAUAAUAUAAUAUAAUAUAAUAUAAUAUAAUAUAAUAUAAUAUAAUAUAAUAUAAUAUAAUAUAAUAUAAUAUAAUAUAAUAAUAUCCUGCCACCCUAUGUAGAACAAGUGGUUUGGGCAAUAGGUGGAAAAUAUAAUAUAUCAUAUAAUCCAGCCAUCUAUUCU